This 328-nucleotide ribosomal RNA is filed under the name uncultured eukaryote. RNAcentral describes it as "partial 18S ribosomal RNA". It matches the Rfam family "Eukaryotic small subunit ribosomal RNA", at positions 1470 to 1796 of the family's 1831-position model. The record is from RNAcentral.
CCCUUAGAUGUCCUGGGCCGCACGCGCGUUACACUGAUGCAUUCAACGAGCUUAUAACCUUGGCCGAGAGGCCUGGGCAAUCUUGUUAACGUGCAUCGUGAUAUGGAUAGAUUAUUGAAAUUAUUAAUCUUGAACGAGGAAUUCCUAGUAAACGCAGAUCAUCAAUCUGCAUUGAUUACGUCCCUGCCCUUUGUACACACCGCCCGUCGCACCUACCGAUUGGAUGGUCCGGUGAAGCCUCGGGAUUGUGGUUCUUGCCGCUUUAUUGUGGCGUGACCGCGAGAACUUGUCUAAACCUUAUCAUCUAGAGGAAGGUGAAGUCGUAACA